UUCCUUAAUCGCUACCUCCAACCUAAAAUCGGAAAAACACAGCUGGUUUCCUACAGCCACCCACGUGGGCCGACAUUUAUACCUGCAUGUUUUAAUAGCAGACGGAGGAAUUUCACUUUCCAGAGGCACAAUAUAACCAGGGCCGGAGUAUCCAUCGCAGCUGCCAGCAAUAGAAGUCAACUUUGUGCCCCCACCUUACAGAAAGAACUGAGCCAAACACUGGUGACAAAAGAUGAUCUGAUAAAUUAAAAACAAACAACUCACCCAGGAA
Podarcis raffonei (Aeolian wall lizard) is the source of this 271-nucleotide long non-coding RNA. RefSeq lists it as uncharacterized. The record is from RefSeq and is a predicted model, not a curated record. The transcript is spliced from 3 exons. NCBI's taxonomy places the organism in Eukaryota, Metazoa, Chordata, Lepidosauria, Squamata, Lacertidae.